AAUUUGAAGAGUUUGAUCCUGGCUCAGAUUGAACGCUGGCGGCACGCUUAACACAUGCAAGUCGAACGGCAGCACGGCGAGGGGAAACCUUCGUGGGUGGCGAGUGGCGGACGGGUGAGUAAUAUAUAGGGACCUGCCCUAAAGAGGGGGAUAACCCGAGGAAACUCGGGCUAAGACCGCGUAAGCUCUAAGGAGGAAAUCUGCCCGCGAGGGUGGAGCUUUAGGAGGGGCCUAUACCGGAUUAGCUAGUUGGUGGGGUAAAGGCUUACCAAGGCGACGAUCCGUAGCUGGUUUGAGAGGAC
Non-coding RNA from Gammaproteobacteria bacterium GWF2_41_13, 302 nucleotides. Lineage: Bacteria; Pseudomonadati; Pseudomonadota; Gammaproteobacteria. The record is from Rfam.